Molecule: ribosomal RNA, 520 nt
Filed under: uncultured bacterium
Lineage: Bacteria
Description: bacterial SSU rRNA
Rfam family: Bacterial small subunit ribosomal RNA
Source: RNAcentral
AAUAGAUACCCGGGUAGUCCACGCCGUAAACGAUGAGUGCUAGGUGUUGGGGGCAUCACGUCCUCAGUGCCGAAGGAAACCCAAUAAGCACUCCGCCUGGGGAGUACGGCCGCAAGGCUGAAACUCAAAGGAAUUGACGGGGGCCCGCACAAGCGGUGGAGCAUGUGGUUUAAUUCGAAGCAACGCGAAGAACCUUACCAAGGCUUGACAUCCCAUUGACCGCGCUAGAGAUAGUGCUUCCCUUCGGGGCAAUGGUGACAGGUGGUGCAUGGUUGUCGUCAGCUCGUGUCGUGAGAUGUUGGGUUCAGUCCCGCAACGAGCGCAACCCUUAUCCUUAGUUGCCAGCAGGUAAAGCUGGGCUCUCUAAGGAGACAGCCGGUGAAAGCCGGAGGAAGGUGGGGAUGACGUCAAAUCAUCAUGCCCCUUACGUCUUGGGCUACACACGUGCUACAAUGGAUGGUACAAAGGGCAGCAAAACCGCGAGGUCGAGCAAAUCCCAUAAAGCCAUUCUCAGUUCGGA